CUAACUACGUGCCAGCAGCCGCGGUAAUACGUAGGUGGCAAGCGUUAUCCGGAUUUAUUGGGCGUAAAGAGAGUGCAGGCGGUUUUCUAAGUCUGAUGUGAAAGCCUUCGGCUUAACCGGAGAAGUGCAUCGGAAACUGGAUAACUUGAGUGCAGAAGAGGGUAGUGGAACUCCAUGUGUAGCGGUGGAAUGCGUAGAUAUAUGGAAGAACACCAGUGGCGAAGGCGGCUACCUGGUCUGCAACUGACGCUGAGACUCGAAAGCAUGGGUAGCGAACAGGAUUAGAUACCCUGGUAGUCCAUGCCGUAAACGAUGAGUGCUAGGUGUUGGAGGGUUUCCGCCCUUCAGUGCCGGAGCUAACGCAUUAAGCACUCCGCCUGGGGAGUACGACCGCAAGGUUGAAACUCAAAGGAAUUGACGGGGGCCCGCACAAGCGGUGGAGCAUGUGGUUUAAUUCGAAGCUACGCGAAGAACCUUACCAGGUCUUGACAUCUUGCGCCAACCCUAGAGAUAGGGCGUUUCCUUCGGGAACGCAAUGACAGGUGGUGCAUGGUCGUCGUCAGCUCGUGUCGUGAGAUGUUGGGUUAAGUCCCGCAACGAGCGCAACCCUUGUUACUAGUUGCCAGCAUUAAGUUGGGCACUCUAGUGAGACUGCCGGUGACAAACCGGAGGAAGGUGGGGACGACGUCAGAUCAUCAUGCCCCUUAUGACCUGGGCUACACACGUGCUACAAUGGACGGUACAACGAGUCGCGAACUCGCGAGGGCAAGCAAAUCUCUUAAAACCGUUCUCAGUUCGGACUGCAGGCUGCAACUCGCCUGCACGAAGUCGGAAUCGCUAGUAAUCGCGGAUCAGCAUGCCGCGGUGAAUACGUUCCCGGGCCUUGUACACACCGCCCGUCACACCAUGAGAGUUUGUAACACCCAAAGUCGGUGGGGUAACCUUUUAGGA
Molecule: ribosomal RNA, 951 nt
Filed under: Limosilactobacillus fermentum
Lineage: Bacteria; Bacillati; Bacillota; Bacilli; Lactobacillales; Lactobacillaceae
Description: bacterial SSU rRNA
Rfam family: Bacterial small subunit ribosomal RNA
Source: RNAcentral